GGAGAAUCUUGCCCAAUGGGCGCAAGCCUGAGGCAGCCACGCCGCGUGGGGGACGAAGGUCUUCGGAUUGUAAACCCCUUUCAGCAUCGAGGAAGCGAAAGUGACGGUAGAUGCAGAAGAAGCCCCGGCCAACUACGUGCCAGCAGCCGCGGUAAUACGUAGGGGGGCGAGCGUUGUCCGGAAUCAUUGGGCGUAAAGCGCGUGUAGGCGGUCCAGUAAGUCGGAUGUGAAAUCUUCGGGCUCAACCCGGAAACUGCAUCCGAUACUGCUGGACUUGAGGAAGGUAGAGGAGAGUGGAAUUCCCGGUGUAGCGGUGGAAUGCGCAGAUAUCGGGAGGAACACCAGUAGCGAAGGCGGCUCUCUGGGCCUUACCUGACGCUGAGACGCGAAAGCGUGGGUAGCAA
This 404-nucleotide ribosomal RNA is filed under the name uncultured bacterium. Its description in RNAcentral is "bacterial SSU rRNA". It matches the Rfam family "Bacterial small subunit ribosomal RNA", at positions 356 to 771 of the family's 1533-position model. The record is from RNAcentral.